Molecule: long non-coding RNA, 1170 nt
Organism: Acanthochromis polyacanthus (spiny chromis)
Lineage: Eukaryota; Metazoa; Chordata; Actinopteri; Pomacentridae
Exons: 3
Source: RefSeq, a predicted model, not a curated record
UGGAUUUAUGUUUUCUCUUCAAAUGAUUGAGGUCAUCUAGAGGCGACAGCUCGCCGAUCCAACAUCUGCACUGGUGUUCAGCUCUCAUGCUGGUGUGAGAAAAGCUAAAGGGGGAACCUGGGAAAGAUGCCAAAGGCUCUGAAAAAAAGAAAAAAGUGACAUUGCUCAUUGAUUCAUUUAGCUGAACUCUCUCAAACCCCUCCCACUCAGGAGGGCUGAUAUUAUCCCCGAUGGAGGGAGAGGACGAAUUGAGGGGAGGAUGGAGGGAGACACGGAGAAAAACAGGCAGAACAGAGAUGUCAGAAAAGACAGGCUGUGUGUGAGCAGACGUCCCUCUGUCACCCCUGUACGGACAGACGCACUCACGCCAGUAGGAGGGGAUUGUGGGAAGGGGGUGUAGCUCUCAGAGGGUGUGCUCUACUCUUCUCUUUUCCCUUCUUCCCGCCAUCACGGCCCUCUUCUCCUUCAGUCCUCCGGCCCAGCCCGCCGCUCACAUGCAGGCUCCAGGAAAGUUACCUUUGGAUCUUUUUGGAUCAUUGAUGAUGAAGCAACGUGGAUGCUGUCCUUGGGGCUGAGGUAGUAGAUUGAAUAGUUGUGGGGUUUUGCGACCUCUUUUUGAGAUAACUAUACAAUCUACUGUCUUUCCCAAGGAGACAGCUGAGUCAGCCACUCGCCGACUGUCAUCUCCAGAUGGGCAAUCGUGCUGUCCGAUCAAAAAAAAGAAAAAACGCUUGCAGCAUUCAACAUAAUUCAUUGGGACCAGGUUUUUUUGGGGGUUUUUUUUUACAUUUUUUUCUCCCUAGAACAGGUAAAUGCGUUUUUUUACCCCCCUGAUAGGUGAACCUGUGUUCAAUUUGGGGCUCUGCCAGGGUGAGGUAGUAGGUUGUAUAGUUUGGUGGGUGGGACUGCACCCUGCUCAGGUGAUAACUAUACAGUCUAUUGCCUUCCCUGAGGAGCUCACUCGACAUUGAUGAAUAUUCAACUCACUCUCAUGGCUCAAGCAUCACACUUGUUCUCAGACAUCACUAAAAAAAGAGAAAAGAAAAGCAGCAGGGACAUUUGUGCUUCAAAUGAUUAGUUUAAUUAACUGUGGCUGUUAAACUGACUGAAGCUGUCUAAUGACCUGCUUUAAAAUAUGUACAUCUUAAAUAAAGUCACACUUGCCUCAAA